UAUAUAUACUCUCCGUCCCAAAAUUCUUAUCUUAGGUUUGUCUAGAUACAGAUGUACUUAAUACUAAAGCGUGACUUGAUACAUCCGUAUUUAGACAAAUUUAAGAGAAGAAUUUUGGGACGGAGGGAGUGUGUG
Molecule: non-coding RNA, 135 nt
Organism: Triticum aestivum (bread wheat)
Lineage: Eukaryota; Viridiplantae; Streptophyta; Magnoliopsida; Poales; Poaceae
Source: Rfam